This 90-nucleotide small RNA is filed under the name Arabidopsis thaliana (thale cress). RNAcentral's name for it is "ATSL197750". Lineage: Eukaryota; Viridiplantae; Streptophyta; Magnoliopsida; Brassicales; Brassicaceae. The record is from RNAcentral.
UGCUUAGUAUUUUGGAGUCAAAUAAGACAAGAUGUUAUGUGUUUGAUUGAGCAUAAGAACUAGAACCGCAACAUCUUCCCAAAAGCUAAA